RNAcentral lists this ribosomal RNA (429 nucleotides) under Gemmatimonadota bacterium. Its description in RNAcentral is "Gemmatimonadetes bacterium partial 16S ribosomal RNA". It matches the Rfam family "Bacterial small subunit ribosomal RNA", at positions 355 to 776 of the family's 1533-position model. The record is from RNAcentral. Lineage: Bacteria; Pseudomonadati; Gemmatimonadota.
UAGGGAAUCUUCGGCAAUGGACGAAAGUCUGACCGAGCAACGCCGCGUGAGUGAAGAAGGUUUUCGGAUCGUAAAACUCUGUUGUUAGAGAAGAACAAGGACGUUAGUAACUGAACGUCCCCUGACGGUAUCUAACCAGAAAGCCACGGCUAACUACGUGCCAGCAGCCGCGGUAAUACGUAGGUGGCAAGCGUUGUCCGGAUUUAUUGUGCGUAAAGCGAGCGCAGGCGGUUUCUUAAGUCUGAUGUGAAAGCCCCCGGCUCAACCGGGGAGGGUCAAUGGAAACUGGGGGACUUGAGUGCAGAAGAGGAGAGUGGAAUUCCAUGUGUAGCGGUGAAAUGCGUAGAUAUAUGGAGGAACACCAGUGGCGAAGGCGGCUCUCUGGUCUGUAACUGACGCUGAGGCUCGAAAGCGUGGGGAGCAAACAGG